Non-coding RNA from Sus scrofa (pig), 1524 nucleotides. NCBI's taxonomy places the organism in Eukaryota, Metazoa, Chordata, Mammalia, Artiodactyla, Suidae. The record is from RefSeq and is a predicted model, not a curated record.
GGCAGGACACCGAUCAGGCAGGGGCGUGGGAGACCCCGUCCGCCCCCCACCCGGCUCCCCUCCUCCGCUGCCCCACCGCGAGGCAGCCUCUGCACGGGAGCUUGUCCUGGGCCCUCCUGUUUGCAUCCAUCCGAACGUACUGACCGCCUGGCAGGACCUGAACCUUCAUGGCCAGGUGCCUGCUUCCCUCCCAGAUUCAGUCUGGACACACAGAGAGACGGCAGGGUUGCACACGCUGGGUUAGAAAAGACCACAGGACGACGCAGGCAGGCAGCCGCCUGCACGCGGAGGAGAGAGGCCUCCGGAGAAAACAAGCCUGCCCACACCCCGAUCUGGACUCCGGCCCCCCAGUCGUGAGAAAUCAAGGGGUGCUGGUUAACCUCGAGGUGGGUGGUAUUUUCCCACAAUAGCGGGAGCAGACACACGCACUGCUUCCAAGCAUCACCUCUACGCCCCCGCCACAACCCCGCCGCACUCCCCCACUUCCUUGUGCUCCGGCCGCUGGAAUGGACGCUCUCCUUUUCCCACGCCUCCUCCUGCCACAGAGGGCUCAGGGCCCUGCCGCGGUGUCUUCCCUCGCACCCACACACCUGGCCACUGGAUCCUCUGGACAGGUCCUCAGCAUUCCCCUACCUUGCCCUCCCCUUGCCCGCUCCCCCCACGCCUCUCAGGACUCCCUCCACUAGGAUGCUCUCUUGAGCCUGCCUUGCUCCCCCCUCAUGGCACUGACGCCCUCUGUGCUCCUCACUCUGAAAGCAGCAUUUCCAGCUUCUGCUUUGGGGUCUCCGAGGGGACCCAGGGGCACUUCCCCCAAACCCACUUGCUGCUCUGCUCCCAUCAGGCCUCGGGCCCUCUGUCACCUGCGCUGAGCCCUGCAAGCUCCCAACACUGUAGGCAGCAGGAGUUCCGAGCACCUAACUGAGGAGGUCUGGUGCCUACUUAAAAUCUUGCAAUAGCUCCCCACUGAAAAAACGUGCAUCACUUAAGGGCCUUCCUGGGCUGUGAAUAAACGUCCUGCUCUUCCCUCCCACCGGAGCUCAGCUCAUCACCCCUCCCCCCCUUACAUUUCAAUGGCUAUCACACUUUUUCAGAUUCUAGAGCAUGCCACGUGGAGGUCCCCUCUGGCUUUGCAUCCGCUGUGCCUUGCCUCCUAGGGCUCUCUGCUCUCAAGCCCCCUUCUCAUCUCCUGGGUUGGUUUCCAUGUCCCUCCCAGGCCCACCUCCACCUUCCACCAGCCCUGCUCCCGCUCAGGGGCUCUGGGCUCCCCCAACACUCCUCCCGGCCCCCACCCCAGCCCUCCUCCUACUGCUCUGUGACGGGGCCACCUGCUUCUUCUUUAGGCUUCUAACACCAGGAUAUCUCCAGCUUCAAUCUGGCCUCAUCUUGCUCAUUCUGCAACAUGAUGUGCCCUUGCUUUUGUGCUGAGCUUGUUUUAAGUGGCAUUUUAUGUGGUUGCUGAAGAAAGGCAUGUUUCAUACAGACCCGUGAAAAACAAAAGCAGAAAGGUGUUAAAAAAAAAAAAAA